UCUAAUAUGGCAGAUUAGUGUAAUGGAUUUAAGCCCCAUAUAUAAAGUAUUUUACUUUUAUUAGAA
This 66-nucleotide transfer RNA is filed under the name Hylemya nigrimana. Its description in RNAcentral is "tRNA-Leu". The record is from RNAcentral. Lineage: Eukaryota; Metazoa; Arthropoda; Insecta; Diptera; Anthomyiidae.